CAACGUGAACAACCUGUCCCUACGUUCCGGAUAAUUGACCGAAAGGUCUUGUAAUACGGGGGAGGGUCCACCGGAGGCAUCUUCAGGUGGAAGGAACGCGCGGGAGCAAUUCUGUGCGGCGCGGGGAGGGGUUCGCGGAUUAUCAGCUUGUUGGUGAGGUAACGGCUCACCAAGGCGACGACGAUUAGCUGGUCUGAGAGGAUGGUCAGCCACAUUGGAACUGAGACACUGUCCAG
RNAcentral lists this ribosomal RNA (236 nucleotides) under uncultured bacterium. RNAcentral describes it as "partial 16S ribosomal RNA". It matches the Rfam family "Bacterial small subunit ribosomal RNA", at positions 113 to 334 of the family's 1533-position model. The record is from RNAcentral.